This 1470-nucleotide long non-coding RNA is filed under the name Mus musculus (house mouse). RNAcentral describes it as "hexokinase 1, opposite strand". The record is from RNAcentral. Lineage: Eukaryota; Metazoa; Chordata; Mammalia; Rodentia; Muridae.
AGAGAGCGGAAGCCGAAACUAGGCGGCUUCACAGAUCUUGCACUGGGUCCCUGUGCCUGCCUGCCAUCGAGGAUCCAAAAUCUAAGGAUGAUGCUCGGAGUCCCACCACAGCCUGUCAGAGUUCACAUAGCGAAACCCAAAGCGCCUGCCCCUGUGACAUCAUAAAUUCAACCCACUGCUGGAGGAAUUCACGGAUACAGGAACCGUAAAUGCAGAGACGAGCUGGGAUUGCGUGUGCAGUGGGAACAGCCUCAGAAUAGCUCAUCAUCUAACAGAGCGCUGCGUCAGUGCAGAUACUGAGUGUUAAUUGUCAAGUUGGAGGUACCCAGAAGCACCUGAGAGAUGGGCUUCUGGGCAUGCCUGUGGGGGACGAUCAUAAAUGAACUGAUGCAGGAAGACCCAUCUGAACUGAGGGCAGGACCUGGUGUGGAUCCUGGACUGUAUAAAACGGAGCGAUGAAGCUAAGAGAAACAUGCCCUUCUUGCCUUCUGCUUCCUGAUUGUAGAUGGGAUGUGAUCAGCUGCAUCAGGAUCCUGCUACGGAUGCCCUUGCCUGAACCGUGAGCCAGAAUGAACCAUUUUCCCUUGAGGUUGCCUUUGUCAGUGUUGUCUUUCACAAUAACGGGAAAAAUAUUAAGACACUGACCUGGCGGGGAAAGACAAACCAGGCCAUACCAUACCAGCAAGGAGGCAGAGGCAGGAGGAUGGUGGAUCUGAGAACAGCUCAGAUUACAUAGUGAGAUACUAUCUCUGAAGUCAGCUAGGAGAACAGCUAAGGAGACAGUUGGUAAAAACGUUUUGUCUUGCAAACAGAUGACAUCAGUUUGAUCUCUGGGACUCAAGGAAAAAUAGCCACUUGCAAUGUCAGAUCUGGAGAGGCAGAAGCAGGUAGAUCCUUGGAGCUACUGACCGGCCUGCCUCGCCUGAUUGGUGAGCUCAGGUCUCAGGGAGAAACUGUCUCAAAACAUAAGGCAGAUGCUCCUGAGGAAUAAUACCUGAGGUUGUCUUUGGGCCCACACACACAUGCACACAUACACACACACACACACACACAGAUGUGCACCUACACACACAGAAACAUACACAUACAACACAUACCAAAAAAAAAAAAAAAAGAGCAAAUGGGUACUGGGAUGUGGUUGGUUUGAAUAGGAAUGGCCCCCCAUAGACUUGUAUUUGAAUGCUUGCCCCAUAGAGAGUGGCGCUACUAGGAAGUGUGGCUUUGUUGGAGUAGCUAUGGCCUUACUGGAGGAAGUGUGUCACUGUGGGGGUGGGCUUUGAGGUCUUCUAUGCUCAAGCUCAGCCCAGUGUGGCACACAGUCUCCUGCUGCCCGUGGAUCAAGAUGUCGAACUCUCAGCUCCUUCUCCAGCACCAUGCCUGCCUGGAUGCUGCCAUGUUCCCGCCUUGAUGAUAAUGGACUGAACCUCUGAACCUGUAAGCCAGCCCCAAUUACAUGUUGUCCUUAUAAGA